Helianthus annuus (common sunflower) is the source of this 3074-nucleotide long non-coding RNA. RefSeq lists it as uncharacterized. The record is from RefSeq and is a predicted model, not a curated record. Lineage: Eukaryota; Viridiplantae; Streptophyta; Magnoliopsida; Asterales; Asteraceae. The transcript has 4 exons.
CACCCCCCCUUUGAGACACGUAUCUUCACUUUUCAACUCUUUUUUCAACCUCAUAAGAGAAGAGAGAGAAAGGAAGAAAAGGAGAGACAAGGGUGGUGACCGGAGGGCCACCGUCACACCACCACGACGGCACCGUCCGGUGUCUCUGUUUUGUGGGUUUCUUGGAACCUGCCGGAAAGAUUGUACGGUGGGAUGGUUCAUAUCCAGGCUAUUGGACAGAAGACAUGUCUCUUCUUUGUCUGUUUGCCGACGACCAACCAUCCACUACCAGAGAACCGCUGCCACUCAACCGUCUGGCGACGACAACUGGGAUUCUUGCGAGGUCUCGGCCUUUUGCCUACCCGACGAUGAUGGUGGCUUGCUACUUGGUAUGGCAACUCCGGUUGCAACCACAGCGCCACUGAGCGGGUUAAAGGAUGAUGAUGAUCUUUUCGUAUCUGAGUUGUGAUGAAUUCAUAUAAUGACUGUAAUCGGAUGUUGAUUUUGCCUUGGUGUGGGCGCGUGGCAGGUAUGGAUUUUGUUUUAUGUGGGUUUUUGUUGCUAGCUGUACUUUGAGAACAUGAGGAACAUGAACAUUGUACCAGAGAAAGAAAAUUAAAUAGGCCGUGAUGAUGUAAAAAAUUCGACUAUCCUGGUUGUUUUGGCUUGGCAAUUUGAUGAUUUGCAGCCACAAUGAGGUAGUGUAUUUGAGCCUACGAAACACAUCUAACCAAAUCAGAUGUGUUCAUAUUUGAAUUUUACUAUUGAUGAUGUUGCUUUCGGUGCUACUCUUAAUACAUUGAUUUGGGUUUGUUUGUUUCUAUCAAUUUUGUUGCUUUAUGUUAUAGGGACUUUUGGGGUUUUUUUAUGGGUUAUAUUGAAAUAAACAAUUUAACAUGUUUUAGUUAGCGUCUGUAGUUGUCGACUUUUUUGGUGCAAAUUGUAACAGAUAGAAAAUUAAAUGGGCGGUGAUGAUAUAAGAAAAUUCUCUAUUUUCGUUGUUUUGGCGUGGCAAUCCGAUGAUUUGCAGCCACAAUGAGGUAGGAUAUCUGAGCCUUCGAACACACGUCUAAGCAAACCAGAUGUGUUCAUAUUGAAAGUUUACUUUUGACGGGUGCCGGUGACUCUCAUCGGUUGAUCUAGAGACAGAAUGGGAGACUUGAAGGUGAUCUUGAACAACCGCAGCCUCAGAGACUUGAAUCGGUGUUCCGGCGAGAGUCCGUACAGGAAAGAGGAGCAGAGAAUAUGAGAGGGAGACAUCGAUUCAAGAUUGAUUUCUUCGAUUUUUAUACUACUGAUUCAAACACAAUGGAGACGAUUAGGAGAGCAUUGCACACAGUUUCAUUGUACUCUAAUGAUCAGAGAUGUGGGAUACAUUAAGGAAAGGUCUAUUGAGCUUGGUCCGCAAGACUACACGUCAUCUUUUAGUUAAGGUAAUGCUGGAUACCAAAUCAUCAAUAGAUAAUUAGAAAGUUAAUGAUAGCAUUAGGGUCAUAUGGUUAUGGUCCUGAUGAUUCCAGCAAAUUUUUAAAAUUUGACACAAGAGGUAUUGUGUUAAUUCUUCACCAUUAAUAAUAAAAACAAGUUCUUUUAAGGAUUGUCCUUGGUUAUAAAAAAAAUCAUUUGCACCAGAGGUGUGAGGUGAUCAGGAGACGCCUCAGGGCCUUGAGAUGGCGCUUCAUACACAUUACGUCGAAUUUAGGGCCCGUAGAAGGUUGAUAUGUAAAAACAACCAGACGGGUGAAGAGAUUUUGAAUGGUUACUUGAUAAAAAGGUUGACAUAUAUAAGAGAUGAGAGAUGCAACUUUUGGUUGUACAUGGAGCAACGUUUUGCGUACGUGAAGCUCUUGUCUUGUGCCUCGGCUUUCGGGGCCUAAACUCCUCAUAGCGCCUCGCCCUCGCUAAAACCAAGGGAUUGUUCAAUAUGAUUGUUAAUAUUUUCUUUUUGGGAGUUUUUCCCUUUUUCUUUCUUAUAUCUUAGUGUUACCAAUAAUUUUGUAGGACAUGAUCGUUGGUACAUCGUGGAACAUAUUCAUGCCAGAGACAGUCGAGCCUCUUUUUUUAUCUUUGAUGUUUGACUGAUAAGGCUAUACGGUAUGGUCAUGUUCCUCAUGACCACCAUGACCCUUCACAUAGGUGUUAAACCACUAUUCUCUUUAUUUUUGUCUUAAAAUUAUCAAAUGGGAGGGUUGCGGUUGUCGUGGUUUAAUGCUGGCGAAUCACCAUGAUUUAAUGAGGGGGUGGUGUAGCGCAUGAAUAUUGGUCCUAUGUGGCAAAUAAUGACCCAACAAUGACCCCCAUACCCCUUAGCCUAAUAUCAAGAAUGAUACAACUAAAACUUUCUGAAUUGACAACCGUUUUUUUUUCAGUAAAAUGUAUAAACAUUAAAAGCCUUAAGCCGAUAGCGUUACUGAUGAUUUGGGUGUCAGGCCUUCACUUUUACCUGUUGUGCUGAAGAUUUGGCAGUAUUUUACUCACUAAUACAGUUAAGUAGUUCAAAAGCACAUAAAUACUAGGACUUAUUAACAAAACUGUUAGGUAUUACUUGAUUAAUUUAUUACUUCUGUUUAUAAAAGUACCUGCAACUUCUUUAAAUCGCAUUGAUUGGGGCCCGGAAAACUUAACAUAGUUUCCAUAUAUUUCUGUCAUGAUGUUAUUUUGUUUAAUAGUGUAGGGAUUCUGAUUGUGUUAUCGCUGUACUAAUUUGCAUUGAAGUAUUAAGGAAUCGUAUCCGAAGUGACAAGUCCAAUUAAGAUAAUGAUAAUGCAGUCUGAUUGGAAGUCAUGAGGUCCGAUGACCAUGGUAAGGUACGUGAAUAGGAGGGUGUGGUGCAUGGUAUGGGGAGGAGUUGUAGUUCCUUCAGAUCAUUUUCCAUUGCUUAAUAGAGAAUCGAAAGGUGGCUUAAGGAGAGCUUUAGCUUCAGACUAUAUAUACACCUUUUAGGAUGCUAUAUGUAAUAUGCUUAUUCUGGAUUGUGUAAACAGAAGACUUUAUUUUGCUUUAUCUGUUAGUUUUUUUGACAUUCCUGCAUCAAAUUGCAUGUAUAAACUUUGGAAGUUGAAUGACAUCUUUAUUAUAAAAGAAGUUCACUGCAA